CAGUCGCCGCGGUAAUACGUAGGUGGCAAGCGUUGUCCGGAAUUAUUGGGCGUAAAGGGCUCGCAGGCGGUUUCUUAAGUCUGAUGUGAAAGCCCCCGGCUCAACCGGGGAGGGUCAUUGGAAACUGGGAAACUUGAGUGCAGAAGAGGAGAGCGGAAUUCCACGUGUAGCGGUGAAAUGCGUAGAGAUGUGGAGGAACACCAGUGGCGAAGGCGACUCUCUGGUCUGUAACUGACGCUGAGGAGCGAAAGCGUGGGGAGCGAACAGGAUUAGAGACCCCAGUAGUCCCUGUCUCUUAUAC
This 301-nucleotide ribosomal RNA is filed under the name uncultured bacterium. RNAcentral describes it as "partial 16S ribosomal RNA". It matches the Rfam family "Bacterial small subunit ribosomal RNA", at positions 509 to 807 of the family's 1533-position model. The record is from RNAcentral.